Molecule: ribosomal RNA, 468 nt
Filed under: uncultured bacterium
Lineage: Bacteria
Description: partial 16S ribosomal RNA
Rfam family: Bacterial small subunit ribosomal RNA
Source: RNAcentral
GACGAACGCUGGCGGCGGGCUUAACACAUGCAAGUCGAACGGAAAGGCCCUGCUUUUGUUGGGUGCUCGAGUGGCGAACGGGUGAGUAACACGUGAGUAACCUGCCCUUGACUUUGGGAUAACUUCAGGAAACUGGGGCUAAUACCGGAUAGGAGCUCCUGCUGCAUUGUGGGGGUUGGAAAGUUUCGGCGGUUGGGGAUGGACUCGCGGCUUAUCAGCUUGUUGGUGGGGUAGUGGCUUACCAAGGCUUUGAUGGGUAGCCGGCCUGAGAGGGUGACCGGCAACAUUGGGACUGAGAUACGGCCCAGAGUCCUAAGGGAGGCAGCAGUGGGGAAUAUUGCACAAUGGGCGGAAGCCGGAUGCAGCAACGCCGCGUGCUGGAUGACGGCCUUCGGGUUGUAAACCGCUUUCGCCUGUGACGAAGCGUGAGUGACGGUAAUGGGUAAAGAAGCACCGGCUAACUACGUG